GAAGGUGAUGCCUGCCCGGUGACUUGACGUUUAACGGCCGCGGUAUCCUAACCGUGCAAAGGUAGCGCAAUCAAUUGUCCCAUAAAUCGAGACUAGUAUGAAUGGCUAAACGAGGUCUUAACUGUCUCUUGCAGGCAAUCGGUGAAAUUGAUCUCCCUGUGCAAAAGCAGGGAUAAACCCAUAAGACGAGAAGACCCUGUGGAACUUUAAAAACAGCAGCCACCCCAAAUUACAUAACCCCCCACUGGGCUCACUAACACAUAAGCCACUGGCCUGCAUUUUUUCGGUUGGGGCGACCUUGGAGAAAAACAAAUCCUCCAAAAAUUGGACCUUCCCUCUAGACCAAGAGCAACAUCUCGACGUGCUAAUAGCAUCCAGACCCAAUAUAAUUGAUCAAUGGACCAAGCUACCCCAGGGAUAACAGCGCAAUCUCCUUUAAGAGUCCAUAUCGACAAGGAGGUUUACGACCUCGAUGUUGGAUCAGGACAUCCUAGUGGUGCAGAAGCUACUAAGGGUUCGUUUGUUCAACGAUUAACAGUCCU
Molecule: ribosomal RNA, 542 nt
Filed under: Saxicola torquatus (common stonechat)
Lineage: Eukaryota; Metazoa; Chordata; Aves; Passeriformes; Muscicapidae
Description: Saxicola torquata (common stonechat) partial 16S ribosomal RNA
Rfam family: Bacterial large subunit ribosomal RNA
Source: RNAcentral